GACAAGCGCCAGGACUGAACCGCAAAAGGUGCGGCAACAGUUGACGAGGUCGAAAGCGAUCGAAAAACUCGGCGGAAGCUUUCGUGGUUUGAAGGGGAAGCCAUAAAACUCUGCGACAAAAAGGUCGAGCGAUCGGCGUGACAAAGAGCGGAGCAC
RNAcentral lists this non-coding RNA (156 nucleotides) under uncultured Pyramidobacter sp. Its description in RNAcentral is "glmS glucosamine-6-phosphate activated ribozyme". It matches the Rfam family "glmS glucosamine-6-phosphate activated ribozyme aptamer", at positions 11 to 159 of the family's 167-position model. Rfam says of the family: This entry contains a glucosamine-6-phosphate activated ribozyme that is found in the mRNA for GlmS. Lineage: Bacteria; Thermotogati; Synergistota; Synergistia; Synergistales; Dethiosulfovibrionaceae. The record is from RNAcentral.